GGAAACUGGGGCUUUCUGGCUAGGAAAAAAGCCAUGAGGUCGAUCAGUAAUCAGAUGGCUGCUAUAACGGAUAUGUGUUGAGAUCUUUUCCAGUUACUUUAGCUGUUAGAAGUUUUGCAUCUGCCAUCAUGUCUGGCUUCUUUAGAUUCAAAUGCACCACCCAGAGAAAUGAUCCUAGUCUCAUAGAGAAUAUGAAAAAUGCCUUGUUCCAUCCUUCAUGAGGCGCAGAAGAGAACACCUCAGGACUAUCAACAAGCGUGCAGGAACAGUGAGCUGCAACUCAUGUGGAGUCUAUUGAGAAAAAUCUCCAGUGGCAGGUCUCCUGCUUGAGGGAAAAACAUUUGGUCUACUUGUUAGCUUCUCACCCCUUUUAUCUUCAAGUGACAGACUCAUCUCUGUGAAUCCUAAUAUUUCUUAAACUGUAGUCUGAGGACUCCUGGGGGUUCCCCAAGACCUUCUUACAAUCCAUGAAAUCAAAAUGAUUUGCCAAAUAUUGAAGAUAUUUGCGAAAAUUUAAAACAAUGUCACUCUUCUCUUGUCAUUUUAUUUGUUAAAAAUAGGAUUUGCCAUGAAAAAUUGUAUGUGAACAUUAGAUGCAUUUAAUAUUAUUAUUUUUAUAUGAUUCAAUAAAUGAAUA
This is a long non-coding RNA of Ahaetulla prasina, 637 nucleotides long. RefSeq lists it as uncharacterized. The transcript is spliced from 3 exons. The record is from RefSeq and is a predicted model, not a curated record. Lineage: Eukaryota; Metazoa; Chordata; Lepidosauria; Squamata; Colubridae.